This 237-nucleotide ribosomal RNA is filed under the name Gemmatimonadota bacterium. Its description in RNAcentral is "partial 16S ribosomal RNA". It matches the Rfam family "Bacterial small subunit ribosomal RNA", at positions 1 to 223 of the family's 1533-position model. The record is from RNAcentral. Lineage: Bacteria; Pseudomonadati; Gemmatimonadota.
UUCACGGAGAGUUUGAUCCUGGCUCAGAACUAACGCUGGUGGCGUGUCUUAGUCAUGCAAGUCGAACGAGAAAGUACCCUUCGGGGUGCGAGUAAAGUGGCGAACGGGUGAGUAACACGUGGGUAACCUGCCUUUGAGUGGGGAACAACCCCUCUAACGAGGGGCUAAUACCGCAUAAUGCAGCGGCUCCGCAUGGAGACAGUUGUUAAAGGGGCAGCUUCGGUUGUCUCGCUUGAA